CGAGCGGCGGGAGCUGCUGCGCUCCGCCUCCGGGGCACGCGGCAGGAGAGCACCGGGCCGGGGGCGGGAGCGGGAGGAGAUCUCCGGGCAGGGCUCGUUCUGCGUGGCUGAAGGCUUCGUCGCUUGCGGGGGCGGGGGGGGCCGAGGCCCCGCAGCCGGCCGGCGGUCGGUCGGUGGCUGAGGGAGCUGACUGGGAGCGGAGGGGCUCCUCACCCCGGGUUUGCAAAUGGUUCCUUAUUCCCGACGGGCAGGGACAGGAGCUUGGUUACUAACCUCAGUAGAAACAAGCCGUUGCUGGGAGGGACAGGAGCAGCUAAACCACAUUCAGCAGAACCUCUGAGUAAACUUAUUUCUGGGAAAUUUGAUGUAGGCAGGUGAGCAGCGUAUCUUCUUUAUCCUGUAUCAUGAUUCCCUCAACCACCUGUGAAAGCAACGCUCGCACCUUGCUCUGCAAGCUGAUGUCUGACCCGUAGGCUUUUCCACAAAUUUGUAAUGUUAGCGGUAACACCUGUCUUGCUGGAGACAUAGAAGGAAACUUCUCAACGUGACUUUGGGCUAGGAAAGCUGGAAAGGCAAUAUCAAGUGAGAUAACUAAAAAAAAAAAAAGACAAACCACACAACCCCCGGUGUAAUAAAAAGGAUUGCAAAAGCAGCAGUAAUACACCACUCUUGAGACUUGCUGCCUUUAGACACUUCUCUAAAUGAAGGGUGACUGGAAGAGAACCUAAAGGAGAGCAUCAAGAACAAGCAGAGAUUUCAGAAGUGUUUCCUAUGAGAGUAGAGUAAUGGGAAAGGACUGGAAAUUAUAUCUUCUAGAGCUGAUUGAGGGGGGAAAAUAGAAUCCAUAUGUAGACAGUUGCUGCAAAGAGGAUGUGGUGAUGGGAAAAGAAGUGAUUGGCUUGCAUUGCAGCAGGGGAGGUUUAGUUCAGGCACUGGAAAACACUUUAAUGGUAAGGAUAAUCAAGCACGGAAAGACAUCACUACCAAAAGUGGUAGAAUUUCUGAGAGUGGUCGUGAGUUGCAUAAACACUUCUCGGGUGUGGUUUAGUUAGCACUGAUUUUGAUCUGUAGAGAAUGAACUAGAAGACCCUUCUGUUUUAUGUGAAUCAAUCUGACAGAUCUGAUUAUGAAGAUGCAAUAUGUUUAUAUGUGCAAGGGAAAAUACGUAUUCCCAAAUGACUAUUUUAUACAUGAAAUUUUCUUUCUAUCUUAUAAACAAGUGUUCACGAGCUGAACAGAACAUCAGUUUACAAAAUCAGAACAGACUUGAUCGAGAGGGAAGCCAAGCCUAAGCUAACAUAUUAGUCAUCCUGUUCACUAUGAACACAUGAGUCUUUUGGCCAUUGUGUAGCCUUAUGGAGCAUUCAUUUUAUGACAUAAAGUGAAGAUUAACAUUGAACAAUAGCAGAAUGUAAGCAGAAUACAAGUCCUAUAACAUGUGCCUUCUAGCCUACACAGUCACUGUGUUGCUGAGGUUUUUCUUGCAAGUCCUGUAGGAUUUCUUUCAUCUAAAAAGAAGUUCAGUUUUAUAUUGGAAUGUAUACCUAAUCCAGUGUUAGCUAUCUUCAUAAAGAAGUUUGUCAGCAGGAACUAACAUGUCAAGAUAGAAGUGAAAAAUAUCAAAGUAUUUUAAUGGGGCAAAACUUAAUGUGGCAGCUAUUAGGUAAUAACUCUGGUUCCAAAAAGUAAAGUGAGCUUCUUCACAGAAUUGUGAGUGUAUCUUCAGUUGAACCUUGUUGCAAAAAUUAUUUCUGGAAAACUUGUAUGAAAAAUAAUCAAUAUUGGACUUUUUGUAAUUAGGGUUUGACCCUGAGAAGUGCUGAGCACAAUAUUUAAUCAUCUAUUGUUUAUGUCAGUGCAGUUUAAUGACUUUGAACAUUUUAACCUAUGAUUGCCACCUGCCAAAUUCAAGGUUUUAUGGCACUAGCAGUCAACAAACUCUGAAGGUGGAAUUGACAUAACAUUUAUUUGUUCAUUAGUAGAUAUUGCAUAACAGGAAUUUAAAAUGUAAAUACUAACAAAUAUGCCUAUUUUCAAACAUAUCUGAAUGGGAUUAGUAGGGUUUCUUUCAGAACUUUAUAGUCAACUAUAUAGAUACAAGUUGUCUAGCAAGCAUUAUCUUGGAAAACAACUUGAAGGACAGGCAUACUUUAGUAUACCUUUUAGUCAUACCACUUUAAUUUCUGGUCUCAUCAGUUAAAAAGAUUCUGGCAAAGAUAAUACUUGUAUAGAAGUGCUAUAGAAAGCAGUGCUAUUCAUUCAGCAGCAGUACAUAGGAACAGUAUGGCCAGUGUUCCUGCAUCAUGGUUUGAAUGACCUGAACACUGGAUGUUUUAUAAAAGGUGCCCUAAAGCAAAGAGACCUAGCAGCAUAUCAGUGAUUGAGAUUAUCUAAACCACUUUGCCACAUUAUAAUAAUUUAAUUCAGUAAGCGAACAAAGUGGAUGGUGUGUUUGUUCUCCCCUUGCUCACCCCACCCUUCCCAAUUGCCUUACUUUUUAAUAACCUUAGGUGAAAGGCAACUGACUUUUGUUUAUUAGCAAGAAGGUAGUUGUACUAAUCUUCAGUUUUUACUGAUAUAAGCUGCCCAGAUAGCUCUGUUUAAGAAACUUAAUUACGAGGGGCGGGGGGAAAUUACUCUUCUAAUUAAAGUUGAGAAGCAGAGAUAAAGCAUUCAAUAUCUCUGAAAGUACUGAGACUACCUUACUCAUUCUGUGUUAUGUUUCAACGUUAGUUUUCCACUGUACAACAUCAUUGCAGAGGGCAGACUCUCUUGGCAAGUCAUAGGAUAGGUAGCAGCAGGAAAGCAAAACAUUACAACAUGUGUAGCUUCAUGUUAAUACCAUAUCCUUACUCGGGAAUAAUAAAUAUCUGUGGAGAAAAGCCUCACAUAAAAAUAUGGACCACUUUGACUCAGGAUACUCAUACAAUAAUGAAAAUGCUCCCAAAUGCUACAAAAUCCCUUUAUUGGGCAUGGCUAGAAAUUUAGAAUCAGAUGCCUUAAAAGAUGUGAAUAGUAGUUAGUUCAA
Long non-coding RNA from Aquila chrysaetos chrysaetos, 3028 nucleotides. RefSeq lists it as uncharacterized. NCBI's taxonomy places the organism in Eukaryota, Metazoa, Chordata, Aves, Accipitriformes, Accipitridae. The transcript has 2 exons. The record is from RefSeq and is a predicted model, not a curated record.